Molecule: ribosomal RNA, 484 nt
Filed under: uncultured bacterium
Lineage: Bacteria
Description: partial 16S ribosomal RNA
Rfam family: Bacterial small subunit ribosomal RNA
Source: RNAcentral
AUUGAACGCUGGCGGCAGGCCUAACACAUGCAAGUCGAGCGGAUGAAGGGAGCUUGCUCCUGGAUUCAGCGGCGGACGGGUGAGUAAUGCCUAGGAAUCUGCCUGGUAGUGGGGGAUAACGUCCGGAAACGGGCGCUAAUACCGCAUACGUCCUGAGGGAGAAAGUGGGGGAUCUUCGGACCUCACGCUAUCAGAUGUGCCUAGGUCGGAUUAGCUAGUUGGUGGGGUAAAGGCCUACCAAGGCGACGAUCCGUAACUGGUCUGAGAGGAUGAUCAGUCACACUGGAACUGAGACACGGUCCAGACUCCUACGGGAGGCAGCAGUGGGGAAUAUUGGACAAUGGGCGAAAGCCGGAUCCAGCCAUGCCGCGUGUGGGAAGAAGGUCUUCGGAUUGUAAAGCACUUUAAGUUGGGAGGAAGGGCAGUAAGUUAAUACCUUGCUGUUUUGACGUUACCAACAGAAUAAGCACCGGCUAACUUCGUG